Podarcis muralis (Common wall lizard) is the source of this 2096-nucleotide long non-coding RNA. The record is from Ensembl. NCBI's taxonomy places the organism in Eukaryota, Metazoa, Chordata, Lepidosauria, Squamata, Lacertidae.
AUGGCUGAAUCAGGACACCCCGAGGAAGAUUCUGCAGUAGACGAGUUCAAUGAUAUUAUCAAGAGUAGAUCUGACUUCGCAGCUAGGCUAUCUCUUACUGUGAAGAGUGAAAGAGGUCCUAAAUCAUGGGAGAGGAGUGAUGUCUUUUUAAAGUCUCAGAAAGCAGAACUUUUGCUACCAGAAGCUGUGUCACUGCAGGUCGGAAAAGCUGGACAAAGAGAGUGCCAUUGAUUUCUUUUCCAGCAUAGUUCUCUGAUCAAGAUUGUAUUACCUUCUGAGGCAGCCUCUGAGAAUAUUUGAUUUUUAAGGACUAACACAUAUUGCUGUGGCUACCAAGUGGAAAGGAUUACAAAGAGAUUCUGUGAAAAGUUGUAGUACUAAGCAGGGAUUUUGGCCAUUUGACAGAAAGUUAGUUUACUACAUCCUGGAAAUGUUUUGAUUGAAAGCACUUCAUGGGGGAGGCGGGUUUGAGUGUGAGAGAGCAGCAGAUGGUUUGAAGGACCAUUUUCAGGGAUUUGUUUUGGAGAAAAUGUACUGUUCAAUGAGUGACUCAUGUUCUCUGCUUUAACAUUGCCUGUGGUUAGUUCCACCCUCUUUAUUCCCACUUAAUAGGAAUGUGACACCAGACAGAAGCUGAUGUGCAGGAAUAGCAGCUGUGGGACAGCUUUAUCCUGUGCAUGUUUAUUUGGAAGCAAAUUUCAUUGACUUCGCUGCAGAAUGCUCUCCCAAAGUGUGUAUAAGAUUGCAACCUAACAGUUGGUUCACUUUUGUCUUUUGGAUACUGAGGUAGUUCCUACGUCACAGUGAACUCAGGGGUGGGGAACCUGUGACUCUCCAGAUGUUAGAUUCCACUGAUAGGAGAUUAGUCCACAGCAGAGUGUCACACAGAUUCCCACCCCUGUGAUAAUCCAUGGUUUAUCUGGAAGAACCAUGAUAAAUCACAGUUUAUCAAGCCCUAGAGAGCCUUGGGUGUGCACACUCAGCCUCCCAGUUCCUAUUCACGACCCCAAGGAUGAAAUCGUAAUUCUGGUUCCAUUAACAAUAAUUAAGCAUUAUGUCUGAACCCUAAACUGUGGUCAAUCUAAACAGGUUUUUUUUUUCAAAAAGCAGUAAUAACCCAGCUUCACGACCCAUCUUAUUGUUUAUCCCUGGCUCUAGUAACACUACUGCCAAUACAGAUCCUUGGGUACUUCACUGCUUUUCUCCCCAGGGUGUGAGAAUCUGCCCUAGAUUUUCCCAUUCUCAAACCAAUUACUAAUCCAAGGAUCUGUCCUCUUAUCCCUUGGCAGCUACUCAGGAACCCUUUUUGGAAACCUAAAUACGUCUACAAAGUCCCUCUUAUUUCAUGCUUUUUGGCUCUCAGAAAAGAAUUUUAAGAGUUCUCCACUGUAUGCCAUUCAGACUUCAUGAUUGUCAAUUAGUCCUAAAAACACCAUCUUUUGUCACCUUUAAUUGAUUCCGUUCUUCUUAUGUGUUCCCUUAAAAAAUGCAAUUCAGGUGUAAGGAUCUCUCCAAAGUUCUCGUUCAGCUUAGUUUUCUUUAAUUUUCCUAUCCUUUUACAGCUUUGUCUGUGCAUUUUCAGUACUAAGCAAGUUGCUUGACAUGAGUGGGACUUACUUCUGAGUAUGUAUGCAUGGCCUUGUACUGUUGAUUUUUUUUAUAAACAUGUUGUUUGAAUGAUUUUUCCACUGAGUAUGUAUUUAGUAAAGUGAGGGUUGAUGAUACCCAUUUUUCCAGCAUUUCCUCAUUUUCUAGCUGCCCCUAUCCUGCAGUUCCUGGGCUGCUGUUGGCUAUCCUGAAUUGUACUCUGGAUUGUUGAGUCUUGGGGUCACUACAGGUGACAGUAAACAGGUGGUUUAAUAUUACAAUGAGUAGUGUAAUACACAGAAACCCUUUGUGAUACAUAUUUACAAGGAAUUUCAUAGGAAACAAUGUAAAUAUAAGCCCUUUUGAGACAGCCUUUGCUGGCUGGAGCUAAUGGGAGUUGUAUUUUAUUUUUUUAUUUUUUAAAAUUUGUAUACCUCCUUUCAUGGCCUCUUUGUGAUAGUUGGUGUACCAGUACUAAUAAACAGGUUGUGUGUGUUGUGAUCUUGGUG